This is a non-coding RNA of Triticum urartu, 135 nucleotides long. The record is from Rfam. Lineage: Eukaryota; Viridiplantae; Streptophyta; Magnoliopsida; Poales; Poaceae.
AAAGUACUCCCUCUGUCCCAAAAUUCUUGUCUUAGAUUUGCCUAGAUACGGAUAUAUCAAGUCAAAUUUUAGUAUUAGAUACAUCCGUAUCUAGACAAAUCUAAGAAAAGAAAUUUGAGACAGAGGGAGUAGUUG